Molecule: long non-coding RNA, 22544 nt
Filed under: Populus trichocarpa (black cottonwood)
Lineage: Eukaryota; Viridiplantae; Streptophyta; Magnoliopsida; Malpighiales; Salicaceae
Description: long non-coding RNA (PTRI_LNC002841)
Source: RNAcentral
AUUUCUUUUGACAAGCUUGUUCAAAAUCUAACCCAGCUUAGAGAACUCUAUCUGAGGUGGGUGAAUAUGUCAUUGGUUGAACCCAAUUCCUUGAUGAAUCUGUCUUCUUCUCUGUCAUUACUCGUACUCUAUUCAUGUGGAUUGCAAGGAAAAUUCCCAUCCUCAGUGAGAAAAUUUAAGCACCUCCAGUACUUAGAUCUUAGAUACAGCAAUCUUACAGGUUCAAUUCCAGAUGAUCUUGGACAACUCACUGAGUUGGUUUCAAUUGAUCUCUCUUUCAAUGCCUAUUUGAGUGUAGAACCAAGUUCUUUUGACAAGACUCUUCAAAACCUAACCAAGCUAAGAGGACUCCGUUUGGGUUAUGUAAAUAUGCCUUUGGUCAUACCUAAUUCCUUGGCGAAUCUGUCAUCAUCCUUGUCAGCUCUUGCCCUUUGGGGUUGUGGAUUGCAUGGGAAGUUCCCAGAUAACAUCUUUCUCCUACCAAACCUUGAAGUGCUUGAUUUGACAUACAACGACGACCUCACUGGCUCUUUUCCUUCAUCCAAUGUGAGUAAUGUCCUCCGGUUAUUGGGUCUUACUCGUACGAGAAUUUCAGUUCAUUUAGGAAAUGACUUCUUCAAUAAUCUAAAGUUGUUGGAAGUUUUGGUUCUUAGAAAUUCUAAUAUCACAAGGUCAAAUCUGUCCCUUAUUGGUGAUCUCACACAUCUCACUCGUUUAGAUCUCGCAGGUAGCAAUUUUAGCGGUCAGAUUCCAUCAUCAUUUACAAAUCUUGUGCAACUUCAAUCCUUGUAUCUUGAUAACAAUAAUUUUUCAGGUAGGAUUCCAGAGUUUUUAGGUAACCUUACCCACCUUGAAAAUUUAGGUUUAUCCAAUAAUCAACUCUCAGGACCUAUCCCUUCUCAAAUAAGUACUCUUUCAUUGAGAUUGUUUGAUUUGAGCAAAAACAACUUGCAUGGUCCAAUCCCAAGUUCAAUUUUCAAACAAGAGAACCUGGUAGCCCUUUCUCUUGCAUCCAACAGUAAAUUAACAGGUGAAAUUUCUUCCUCUAUUUGCAAGCUUAAAUUCCUUCGACUCCUUGAUUUGUCCAACAACAGCUUGAGUGGUUUUAUACCACAAUGUUUAGGGAACUUUAGCAACUCUCUCUCAGUUUUGAAUCUUGGCAUGAAUAAUCUUCAAGGCACUAUCUUUUCACAAUUUUCAAAAGGGAAUAACUUGGGAUAUCUCAACCUAAAUGGCAAUGAAUUGGAAGGGAAAAUACCAUCGUCUAUCAUCAACUGCAUAAUGCUGCAAGUUCUUGAUCUUGGUGACAAUAAAAUUGAGGACACAUUUCCCUAUUUUCUAGAAAAGCUUCCAGAGCUGUAUAUCCUUGUCCUAAAGUCCAAUAAACUCCAUGGUUUUGUGACUAGUCCGACUACUAAAAAUUCAUUCUCCAAAUUGCGGAUCUUUGACAUCUCCAACAAUAAUUUGAGUGGACCUUUACCAAUAGGGUAUUUCAAUAGUUUUGAAGCAAUGAUGGCCUAUGAUCAAAAUCCGUUUUACAUGAUGGCCUAUUCCAUAAAAGUGACAUGGAAAGGGGUUGAGAUUGAGUUCGAGAAAAUCCAAAGCACUCUUAGAAUGCUUGAUUUGUCAAACAACAGUUUCAUCGGAGAAAUUCCAAAGAUGAUCGGAAAGUUUAAAGCAGUUCAACAACUCAACCUCUCUCAUAAUUCCCUUACAGGCCAUAUUCAAUCAUCAUUUGGAAUGUUGACCUAUCUGGAAUCAUUAGAUUUGUCUUCGAAUUUGCUUACCGGAAGGAUUCCAGUACAGUUGGCAGAUCUAACAUUUCUUGCAGUCUUAGACCUUUCACAUAACAAGCUUGAGGGGCCCGUACCCGGGGGAAAGCAGUUCAACACGUUCAAUGCAAGCUCAUUUGAAGGAAACUUGGACUUAUGUGGAUUCCCCAUGCCAAAAGAAUGCAAUAAUGACGAGGCACCACCAUUGCAGCCAUCAAACUUUCACGAUGGAGAUGAUUCAAAAUUCUUUGGAGAAGGAUUUGGAUGGAAAGCUGUGGCAAUAGGGUAUGGAAGUGGGUUUGUGUUUGGAGUCACAAUGGGAUACGUUGUGUUCAGAACAAGAAAACCAGCAUGGUUUCUGAAAGUUGUUGAAGAUCAAUGGAAUCUGAAGGCAAGAAGAACGAAGAAGAAUGCUCGUAGGAAUGGUGCAAGAAGAAACUAAACAACGGAGCUAGUAACAUGAGGUAAGUUCUGCAAGCAUUAUUUGACAUCUUAAGGUUUUACGUGCAAGAGUUUAUGCUAUUUUUUCUGUGCUAUUUCCUUUGAUUAGUCUUUUCUUUCGCUUUCGGAUUCAUUAAAUAAAAAAAAUUAUUUGUAUGUUUCUCUAUUGCAGUGAAGUUAGGAAUAAACAUUCUCGCUACCUUAUGAGAUACCAAGUGGAGGUUGACAUGAGAAGAACGCUAGAGUGGCAGAUUCAGAGAAUUGGAUUCCUCUUUCGUACUGCUUCUGUUUUCCUUCAUGGUUGUGUUUUAAUUUUAUUUUUUUUAUUAGUUGUAUUCGAUACAUGGAAUAUUUUCGAGUCACUUAAUAUGCAUGUUUUUAUUUAUUUAUUUUUAUGGUUAGUUUUGAUGCAAGGUUUGGGUGUUACAUCUAUUAAAAAAGAACCAAUGCAUGCAGCAGUUGUUACAACUUUACUUCAAUCACCCUUUCUUAGUGUAUUCAAACUUUACUUCAAUCUCUAAAUAAACUAUUUAUUUAUUUAGGAGUGCGCUUUAACAUUUCGAUUCAUUAACAAUUUAUCAAAGUUAAUCCAUACAACUAAAAUACAUGUAAACUGCAUAUAUAUGUCGGACAGCUUUGCAAUAUUGAAAAAAGAAAAUACAGAAAACAUUCGCAUUAUCAUUUUCUUUAUGGUAUCAGAGCUCUAGUUCUGAGAACCUAGCUAGGAAUCCAUACAACUAAAAUACCUCAUGCCUGGUGACGAAGACCAAAAGCUUCUUGAAUAUAACAGGCGCUGUCGAACUCUUUCAAGACCUCAGAACCAUGGGAGAACUCCAAUCAUCCACCUUUUCUCCAUCACUCCGAUCAACCCGGCGCUGUCCUCGUUUCACAACAAAUUCUAGUGCUCUGUUCCUUGCCUACUUUUGGGCAGUGUUAUCAUGCAAACAGAAGCGUUGGCAAAGUAAGUAGUUCCAAAUAUUUCUAGCAUAGAUUUAUGCAUGCAAAAUAGUAAUGUGAAUAAGCAACCUUGUUAAAGCUUAGCUCCUGGAAAUGGAAUGCCGCCGCAAAUUGCAACUGGAAAAAAAAAACCAAAUAUGUAAUUUGGUGGCUAGUCUUGUUAGGUUUCGGAAUCAAAACAAUUAAAGCUUGAUUUGUAAAUCAUAUUUUAGAGAUUUAGUUUGAUUGUAGUUUUUGUAAUUAAAUCCUAAAAAUUAGUUGCUAGUCUGUCAGUUUACUUAUUUAGACAAGAUCUUUUCUAUGUAAACUAUAUAUAUGCAUUGUAGAAAUCACACAGAAUAAUAAAACUGCCUUGCUGUUCUUCAAACUCCCACAGUCAGCUUUCUUGUUUUCUUCAAGUCUUGCAAACGAGACCGACUCGUUCCUCGUAAUGAUGCAGCUGUCGACCAUCAACCUCGCACCUACAAGAAAUGGUGAGGCAUAUUACAGCACUUACAGUAUUAAACGGGUAGCAACGAUGAAGCGAAGACGAGGCCGGUGCCAGAAACAGAGCAUUUCACUCAUAACCAUGGACUUGGAUUGCAAUGAGAUAACAGCGAAGGAUUCAAAAGCCUUAUUUAGAACAUGCAUGUUUGUGAGUAAUUCAUAUUAAGAAUUUUUCUGCUUCCAGUUGCUACAGUAAUUUAGAAAAUGCAUGGACGUUUACCGGUUUCGAUUGUUAUUGGAUAAGCAUGAAUACGGUAAUCGAGAUUAAGCAAUGAAAUUGAUUGAGAAUAUUAACAAUCAACGAAAAUCAAUUAAGAUUCAGACUACAAAUAGAAAUAAAAUAUGAAAAUCUAAUUACCUACGAUUCCUUCUUCGCUUCGUUCUCCCAUUUUUAUGUAUUCAGCAUCAAUAGUGUCAGCAUCAGGUAAGAAGGUUGAGAUAUGCGCAUACUUACCUUAACCAAAGUCGAGGUGGGAAGAAUGCCUGCUUCUGAGAUUCACAUUAUAAGAACAAGAAGAUAUUCAAAGAGAGGAAGAAGAACAAGAGAAGCCUUGAGGCUUGAUAGUGCUGAAAUUGUGUUAUGAUUUGCCUUAAUUGUUGUUAUAUACAAGUGUUUUUUUUUAUAUAGUUCAAUGAAUCCUACCAAACUUAAAAUACUAAAUUGAAAAUAUUAAACUGAAUAUAUAUGAUUACAAUAAUUUAAUACACAGGUCUCGGGCCUUUAUUAAAUUAUGCUGGAUCAGACUAAACUUCAUGCCUCAACACACAUGUCAUCCAUCAAUGAACUUUUUCUUCUGAUCUUGUCCUCCAUGGAAUCUAAUUAGAGAACAAAAUGUAUCUAAUAGCAAGGAAAAAGUUGCUUAAAUUGCAAACUAAUUACAUGAGAAAUAAAAGUGAAGAAAUUCAUGCAUAUGAUUAAAUAAAAACAGGAAUUAAGAAAUUUUUAAAAAUAAAUUUUCGGGCAAAAUAAUUCGAGACAUUAUAAAUAAACACGGUAAUGUUGAGGGUUGGAUUUAAUUGAAGAGAACAAUACACUUAAAGGAAAUGGGGCCUAAAUGCAAAUAAGAGAAAUUAUGGAGUAUAAAUACUCUUCUCCUCAUAAAAAAUCUGCAAGAACCAUAAGGAAAGAAAAUAGGGAGUUUUGUAUCCAUUCUUGCAAAAUCAAGAGAGAAACACUAAAAUUUCAAGAAUCCAUUUAAAAUUAAGAGUUUAUAGAUGGAAUAAACACUUGUGAGUAAGGGAUUAACAAGAAAAAUUGAAGUCCUCAAGGGGCGUGGCGUGAUGGCAAAGGGGUUGAGAUCUGCACAGUAGGUCUCGAGUUCGAGUCAAGGCGUGUACCUCUUGUAAGAGCCUGGGACAGUCGGGGUUUUACUCGCUCACCUGGGCCCAUAAAGUGCGCUUUCCGGGGGGUGGUGUUUCCUCAAAUCCAAAAAAAAAAGAAAAAAAGAAAAAGAAAAAGAAAAAUUGAACUAGAAGAGAAGAAGGAGGGCAGACUGUCAUUAAAAAAGAAAGGAGGGAGUUGAAAAUCUUUAACUGGUUGAAAAUCAAAAUCUUAAUUUGUAUCGGGUAUGGUGUUCUAAACAUAAUCUUAAAAUUCAUUUCAAAUUCGAUAAUGAAUCGAUGCCUUGAUAUUGAAUUAUAGGUUAGGGUUCUUAUACAUGAAAUGGGGAAAAAGUAUUUGUUGUUAAAAUUAAGUUAAUUCAUGUGUGGUAUGUGAUGGGGGGCGUGAAACCCAAAUAAUUUACCCAUAAAAUAUAGUUUGUGAAAGUAUUGUGUGAAGGGAAGGGGGUGACGAAUUUGGACAGACUUGUCUCCUAACUUUCGGUGAGAUUUUGGAUAAGAGGAUGAAAUAAUUAGGAUCGGAUUCCUUCAUGGACAUUGUAGUUUUGGAUGUUAGCUAACCAAGGAAACUAGUCUUGCUCAAUUUGGAGCUGUAGAACUCCAGUUAUGGGUCACCAACCAAUACUGAGUCGUGACUGAUUCUGUAGGGCAGUAAGACUGAUUAGUUGAUGAGCAAUUUUGACUUUCUUGGAGGUAGAAUUGGGUUCUCCUUCCUUUAGAGAACUUGUAACCUCGUGUCUUAGCUUUCCAACGAGAUCAAUAUCACUUGAAAUGGAGUUCUAGAACUCUGUAUAUAGUUAAAAAUCUGAGGAGUGUUCAGACAGUAACAAUUGGACAGUAACAAUUCAAUGUCUAGACAGUAAUAAUUCAAUUUCUAGACAGUAAUCGUUAGACAGUAACAGUUGGACAGUAACAGUUCAAUGUCUAAACAGUAACAGUUCAAUGUCUAGACAGUAACCGUUGGACUUUCACGUGAAUACUAUAUGUAAGAAUAUAAAAGAAUUGAGUCAUACGAACACUUGCACAUUGAGAUACUAACUCUGAAAAUAUACAUGAUAUAUGUAUGUAUGUUAUUAUGAGAAAAUGAACAUGCAUAGAAAGUAACAUAUGAGUAAUAAAUGAAUAUGGAUUCUCUAUAAUAUCGGCUUGAAGGAAUCAUAACCAAAAACUUCCUUGUGAUUCAGGAGGAGCAACCAGGAUUGGAUCUUCUAUUAGGGGAGGUCACGAGACAGACGGAGCAGGUGCGUGAUUUUCCCUCCUAUUUGCACUUCUACAAUUUAAAAUACUUCUGGUGAAUGCAAUUACAAUAAAUAUCGUAUUCAAUGUAAAUAAAGUCUAGUGUAUUUACAAGAUUAGGUUCGACUAAUGGCAUCCGUGAUAGGAUUGCCGGGAUAUGAAUCACAGGAUUAGGUUCGGCUAAUGGCAUCCGUGAUAGGAUUGCUGGGAAAUGAAUCACAGGAUUAGCUACGGCUAAUGGCAUCUGUGAUAGGAUUAGCUUCAAAUUGUUGGGAAAUGAAUUACAAGAUUAGCUACGAUUAAUGGCAUCCGUGAUAGGAUUGCCGAGAAAUGAAUUACAAGGGUAGCUUGGGCUAAUGAUGUCCGCGUUGGGAUGCCCGGGCACGAUUGAUAAGACUCGAUUUGUAAAAAGUAUCCGUGUUCGAAUGACCUGGGGAAAUUGAUAAUUGCCUAAAAAUGUCCAUGUUGGACUUUGCAAGGUUACCCGGUUCAUGCAAGUAAAUAAGAGUAUUCAAAUUAAAAAUAUGCAAAUGAGUGUUAAUUGGGUUUAAAUGAAUUACAAGUAAAAUAUAUGUUGUCUGUUAGAAUUUGUAUGGAUCCGAUAGAAAAUUUAUAUGUCAUUCAUAUACAUUACAUGAGCAUAUAUAUAUAUUUCUUUUAUCAACAUAAUGGUAUGUUUAUUUAUGUAACAGGUCCAUCAAAUAUCCAGGGAGAUCAUUAGUUUAUGACUCUACUUUGUCAAGCUUAUGUAAAUAUUUAACUUAAACAUAAUGGAAUUAACGCGUUUAUAUAUUAUGCUUUUGUGUAAACCUUGAUGUAUUUAUAAAAGUUCAGUUUAACAUGUAGUACUUUAGUUAUCUUGUAAUUAACCCUUUUCAAAUGUUUAAGAACACUUAUUAUGUUGUAAAUGCUCUCCUUGCAUGUUAGUAUUCAUUUUUCUUUUAAAUUUUAUGAUAUGAUAUGUGGGCUAUUGUCGCAAGUGUGCGGCGUCGCGGCGAUCGCCCACCAUCCAAGAAAAAAAGAAAAAUGGAAUGUGGUGUAUUCCUGGCAAAUGUGUAGAGACAAAGAAUUCUUGUCUCCUAUCAGUAAAAAAUGAAUAGGAGUUGCCACCUAGUAUUCUGGUCACUAGGAACCCUAACUGGUCUCAGAGAUCGGGUACGGAGACUAGUUGCGUAAAGGGAAGGUAUUAGCACCCCAAAUACGCCCUACCUAAGAUAGGCUGCAUUGUUUUGUCUGAUAAAAUCUCAAGUCAUGUUGUGGUUUCUAAUUGUUGGUCUGUCUAAGGUUCAAGACAAGCCCCCCUUUAGAAGGAGGUUCUUAUCUUAAUGCGAUAAAAUCUAACCGUUCUAUUGUCCAAAAAAUAAUUAAAUAUCCAGAAUAUGCAUUAUGUGUAAUGUCGUACCCCAGAUACUAACAGAUAAACAAAAUAAAAUUUUUGUUGUUUUUGAAAUUUUGGCCAAUGUUCUCUUGACUUUAAUAAACUGGUUAUUAAAGCCAAAAUGCAUGAUGAAACAUUGUUUUAUCAAAUUUUUUUUUUGUGUAUGAAAAACACACUAUGAUUUUGUUAGCUUUGAGACACUUGGCCGAAUGCACAAAAACAUUUUUUAUUUUUUCAAUUUUUUUCGUAUUUUUGGAAGUUUUGACGACAACCAGGUAUUUUAAUAUCAUAUUUGUAUUUUUACCAUGUAAAAUACUGCCCGAUAUUAAUCAAAAUAACAUAAAAACUACGCGGAAAAAAAAAUAAAAUGCUGAAACAAAUAUUUUUAAUUUUUUUUCUUGAAAUGGGCCGGAUCAGGCCCAAAUGCAUAGGUUGGGCCAAACAGCCCAACUAUAUGGGCUGGGCUCGGCCCAGCCCACAUUAGCUAGUUACUGUGCAUGAGCACAGUAAUCAGCUUCUCCCCGCCUACAGACGUGCACUGUGCACGUCUUGCGUGGCGAGGGAAGAAGUGAAGGCAAAAUAAAAAUGGCGGAGGGCUUACCUGGAGUGGCGGCGACGCUGGUGGCUGCUGGCGGCGAAGGCACGGUGGCCGGCGGUUUCUCCUCCUUCUUCCUCUGUGUUUUCUUCUUCCUUCGCUGUCUGUUUUUUCUUUCUUUUUCUUUCCUUUUCCUCUCGUCUUUUCUCUUCUCUUCUCUUCUCUUCUCUUCUCUUCUCUGUUCUGUCUCUCUCUCGUCCCUCUGUCCCUCUCUUUUUUUCAUUUGUUCUCGGUCUUUCGGUCUCUCUCUUCCCUCUCUUCCCUGUUCUGUUUUUCUUCCCCUUCCCCUGUUUUUAUAGGCAAAAACAGGGGAGGGAGACGUGGCUGGGGCGGCCACUGUGCUGCCGCCCCGAACCUCCCAAGGGGUAUGUCCCCUUCCUUCUUCCACCACGUGGCAAGCAAGUGGGUUGUUGGCGUCUUUUUUAGAGAGAGCUGGCGGUGGAACAAAAGAAAAAAUCUUCUUCUUCUUCCCCUGCUUCGCGUGUCCAAGGGAAGAAGAAGACAUGGGUGCCGUUCCAAACGGCACCGUUUCCAGCCUUUCUCUUGUUAUUUUAUUUUUUUAAUUUUUUUUUAUAACAGUGCAUGAAACGGCGUCGUUUUUCCCAAAACGCGUCGUUUCAUUUAAAUGGAUUUUGGCGCCAAAAACACGUCAGAUUCAAAAUCAGGCCUUCAAUUUGCGCGCGUUUUGCUUUUUGGUCCUUGGUCUCGGAUUUCUUCAAUUAAGUCCCUAAUUGGCCAUCAAACUUCAAUAUUUAUGCAAUUAAUCCCCUGAUUUGAUCAAAUUAACUCUAAAAAAAUAUAAUUUGAUCCCAGAACUUUAAUUACUUUAAAUUAAAGCCCAAAUUAACUCCAAAAUCAAUUUUUCUUGCAAUCAAAACCUCCAUAAAUUCAAUUAAACCUUCAAUAAAAUUUAAUUGAGUCCAUAAAUAUCUGAUUUUGGACUUUUCUUCCUCAAAUUCAAUUUUUUUUGUCAAUAGGGUUGUCAUCAGUUAACAAAAUAUUGCCAAAUUUUAAUCUUUGUAUUUUUUAACCUCCUCAACCAAUUUUUACCUAUUUUUUGGGUGCGCUGACAUCUUUUUUUCACUGUUUAUAUUUUUUGAUAGUAUAUUUUUUUUGUAUUUUAUUAUUUUUUGUGCGGGACCAAAAAUGAGUUACAACAGCUAUGUUCAUAUUGAACUUACUCGUAGGAUAUAUAUAUUGUGUGGAUUGUAUGAGGUGUUAAAUUAUGAUGAUUGAAAUAAUUAAGGUCCGGAAUUAUGGGACUUAUGAUGAUAAGUUGAUUGAGUAAAUUGAUAGUAGUUGAUAACUUGAGAUGUUGUAAAUACAAAUGAAACUCUGCCGAAUUUUUGGUAGAUUUCAAAAAAAAAAUACCCUCAAAUUAAGAGCAUAUAUUGAGAUCUUUUAACGUUGAUCAAGUCGUACAAUCGGGUCUGUUACAUACAUUUUCUACAGAUGUAAAUAUGAAGGGAUAUCAUCUUUACGUAUCUUUACCUAAAAUUGUUAAUGAACUAUAUAUGAAUAGUCCGAAAUGAUUUCCACAAAAAAUGUCAAUUAUGGAAAUUAAUAUUGCCGUGUUUCCAACACUAUUGUUUAGUCAACUAAGGGACCUACUUGUAUAGAAAUAUUUGCAAUUGAAUAAUUCAACCUUCAAUUCCAUAUUCAGCACCAAAUGAAGAUUAGCACAUAAACUUGCUGCAAAUGUAAAUGUAGGGAUAUUAUCUACUCUCAACAAAAAUCAUGGAGCCACUUCAUUUGUGAACAAUAAGAAACCGUUUGCUCUAUAGGCAACUCAUGCAAAAGAAACAAAGAAGAGUUCGCUAGCAACAAUAAAAUAAAUUUAAAUUAAAUAGCUUGCUCUUGAAUUAUGGAAAUGUCUUGUAGGACUACCACUUCAAAUCAUAAACUCAUUUAAAAUGGAGUAGGUAGUAACAUGCUAAUUAUUUUAAUGGCAUUUUAGUCAUUAAUAUUACUCUAAAGAGAAAUGGAUGAUCAAUUCAAUAAUCUCACAGUUUAAGUGAUCAAAACAAUAGAAGGGUAUUCAAUAAUAGACACAGUAAUUUCUUGUUUACUUUAUCUACGUUUUGGUGCUUAAAUCAUGCAUGGCCACAUACCUAAUUAAGAUGUGAAUUAACUACGUUUGUAAAUUAUUAAAAAACAAUUCUUUCUAUUGAAAAUGUUGUUCCUCGAUUUCUUAAUUUUUGGAAAUUAAAGUCAGUAUGUAAAGCACUCGUAAUUUGUUUUCCCUAAAAAUAUUUUCAUGCAAAAUUCCACCUCCGAUAUCUAUAAAAUUAAUUAUUAGCACCAUUAAUUUGCGGGGAAAUUAUCUAUAAAAGUUUUUUAUCUCCUUAUCUAGAGAUCUUGUUGAGUGGAGUUUGUCCCUUACAUGUUCUGCUCUUAGAGUUAGUCUUCCAACCAGGAUAAGACUCUUCCUUAAACUUUGAAGUUUCACUGUUAUCUUCCCUCCAUUGUUUUCGAUAUUAUUGGUAACAGACUGUUACACAAUGCACUGAUACCAACAGCUGAAACUAUAUACGUAACAUCCCUUCAAUGUGUAACUUUGUUAGUUCAUUUCACUGCGAACCUCCAUAUAUCAUUCUUGUCUGCCAUAGACUCUCUCUCUAAAUUCUAAACCGAUUGCCAGGUUGUUCGCACAAAGUUUUUUGACAUGCCACCUUUGACUGUCUCGGAAGCUAUUGAGCAGCUGGAAAAUGUGGAUCAUGAUUUCUAUGGUUUCAGGAAUGAAGAAACUGGUAUGAACUUAUGCAGCUUGUUUCAAUUUCUUUUUCACUUAUCCUCUGCAAUCUGUUAACUAAUAUAGGUACUGAAUUGCUGUGUGCUUGAUUCCAGGUGAGAUAAAUAUUGUUUACAAAAGAAAAGCUGGUGGAUAUGGUCCCAUCAUACCUAAAGGAAAUUACGAAGCUGAGAGAUUAGAGCCUUUGGUGGUAGAACCAGCUAGAGAACCAUCAUUGGCAGAGUAACCAGGUCUAGAAAAUAAGAUCUUCCUAUAAAAUAGAUUACAAAAUCCACGUUUUCGGUAAUGCUGUAUAUACAAUGCUAAGGCAUCUAAGAGAGCAUGAUAUAGGGUUCGAGACCUGGUGAACGCACACUAACGAGAUAUCAUGACAUGAUUGUACUGGUUAUUAGAUUUUGGAAGAUUAGGUUCAGUGUGCUGUGUCCCAACUUUUACUGGAAUGAGAAGACAAAUCUUGCAAUUUAUAAGAUGGAAAUCAAUUCGAUAAAGUCUUCUUUCCAUGUGGUCGAGUCUUAACUAUUUUCUCUUUCCUGUGGAUUUUCACUUCUUUGUUAUGUAUGGAAAUCAAUUCGAUAAAGUCUUCUUUCCUGGUGUAUUUUCUCUUCAUGCUAUGCAUGAUUCUUUGCUUGCUGCCAUGUUUGCUUUUCCUUAGUUGUGAAUUCUCUCUGGCGAAGUUUCGCGCGAGCCUACUUCUGUGAAACUUCUGCUUAUGUUCAAACAAGUUAAAAUUGGAUUUCUUACAACAUGUGCCCCAUCUGACCCAGUUGAGGUCGAGACUUGCAUUUGCCUUCCAGAGCGGUGGAAAGCUUCUUGGUGAAAGAGAUGUCCAUUAUCCCGGUUAUGGAAAUGUCAAGUGGAGGUUCAGUAAAGGGCUUAUAUGUGGAUAAAACAGCUCCCCUCCCUGUUAGCAAUACUAUCAUGAAGUUUACGAGCAUAUAUUGUUAGGAUACUGGCAUGCAAACCCGACAAGAUAAAAGGCAAAGGAUAGGAUAAAAUGAGAAAUUAGACACACAAGAAUUUACGUGGUUCACCCAAUUUGGCUACGUCCACGGACAAGUAUAGAAGGAUUUUACUAAGUAAUGUGGGAAUUACAACCUCUCUUCAACAAUAGGAGAACAACUGAAAUCUCUCAAUUACUAGGAGAAAACACCUCACUUACUCUCUCAUAAAUACCUCACAACUUUGUGGGAUUACUCUCUCUUCACUCUCUCUACUUGCUCUCAAGUUUCUCUCUUGUGGUGUGCAUCUAAUGCUUGGAUGCAUUGCCUAUUUAUAGGCAAGCAUCCAUGCAAGAGACAAGGGGCACCAAUUGGUGCUGCAAGUGGCACCGAAUUGGUGCCCAACAUUGUUGACUUUGCCAACAAUGCUAGCUGGCUUCACAUUCUCCCACUUGAAGACUUUGAUGAUUUAAUCAAGUCUUCACACUUGAUCAUCUGUGAUUCUUCUAUCCUUUCUAUACUUGUCAUCUUCAUGCUGCUUACGUUUCUGUUAGGCCAUAAGAGGAUCUGCACCAUAUAUACUUGUCAGUGUUGACUGGUUUGGUCAAAGCAUCUGCUGGGUUUUCCUUUGUGUGAACCUUCUGAAAAUCCACACUUCCAUCUUCCACCACUUCGCGAACAAAGUGAUACUGAACAUCUAUGUGUUUUGUUCUUGAAUGAAACGCUGGAUUCCUUGCAAUAUGCAAGGCACUCUGACUAUCACAAUACAAAAGAAUCUUCUCUUGUUUGUGCCCGAGCUCCUCCAUAAGUUUCUUCAUCCAUAUUGCUUCUUUACAAGCUUGUGUAGCUGCCAUGUACUCAGCUUCUGUUGUGGAUAAAGCUACAACAGUCUGAAGUUUAGAGACCCAGCUCACAGCUCCUCCUGCAAUUAUGAACACAUAGCCUGUAGUGGAUUUUCUUUUCUCAAGGUCGCCAGCAAAAUUUGAAUCAACAUAACCUCUGAUAGUAGAUUCUGAUCCUCCAUAACAUAAUGCGGCAUCUGAGGUACCCUUGAUGUAUCUCAAGAUCCUCUUAAUAGUAUUCCAAUGCUCUCUACCAGGAUUUGCCAUGUAUCGACUAGCUGCUCCCACUACUUGUGCAAUGUCUGGUCUUGUACAUAUCAUGGCAAACAUUAAACUUCCCACUGCUGAUGCAUACGGUACUCGAGACAUCUCCAUCCUCUCUGCUUCAUUGCUAGGAGACAUACUUGAGGAUAAUUUGAAGUUAACAGGAAGUGGGGUGGAAAUUGGCUUACAAUCUUGCAUGUUGAAGCGUCGCAAGAUCUUCUUCAAAUAAUUUUUUUGAGAAAGCCAAAUCUUCCUCUUACUUCUAUCUCGGUGAAUUUGCAUCCCUAGAAUCUUGUUUGCUGGUCCUAAGUCCUUCAUAUCAAACUCCCUAGCCAAUUGUGCCUUCAAUUCUUGGACUCGAUCUUUGUUGGGGCCUAUUACCAACAUGUCAUCCACGUACAACAACAGAAUGAUGAAAACAUCAUUUUCUUCAAACCUCUUGUAAUACGUACAAUGGUCUGAACUGAGUCUGUUGUACCCAAGGCUAAUUAUGAAGGAAUCAAAUCUCUUGUACCAACACCUCGGCGCUUGUUUGAGACCGUAUAGAGAUUUGUUCAACCUGCAAACCAAGUUCUCCUUGCCUGUUUCAGCAAAACCCUCUGGUUGGAGCAUAUAAAUUUCUUCUUCAAGUUCUCCAUGAAGAAAUGCAGUUUUCACAUCUAACUGCUCUAAGUGAAGAUCAAAUAUAGCACACAUUGCCAAGACUACUCUGAUUGUAGUAAGUCGUACCACCGAAGAAAAUAUCUCAUUGAAGUCUAUUCCUUCUUUCUGAGCAUAUCCUUUCACCACCAAUCUUGCACGAUACCGCUCCACUUGAUCAUUGCCAUCACGCUUUAUCUUGUAAACCCAUUUGUUGCCAAUGGCCUUUCUUCCUUGUGGUAGCGGAACAAGAUCCCAAGUGUUAUUCUUGUGCAGAGCUUCAAUCUCCUCUUGCAUUGCUGUCAUCCACAUAGAUACAUCUGUGCUUUUGAUAGCCUCAUGGAAAGUUGAUGGCUCUCCAUCCUCUGUUAGAAGACAAUAUGCAAUAUUGCUCUCAGUAACAUAUUCUGAGUGCCAAGCCGGUGGUCUUCUUUCACGAGUUGACCGUCGAACUUCAGGAGUUUCAGACUCUGUUUGUUCUUGUUCUUCAGGUUCUGGUGUAGCUUCAGAAGAAGUAUGAUUCUGAGUAUUUUCCAUCUGGACUGCUGUAGUCUCCUUUAGAAUGCUAUUAUGUUCUUCCAUUUGCAUUUUACCUUCUGCAAAUAUAACAUCUCUGCUGAUGACUACCUUGUGGGCAGUGGGAUCCCACAGGCGAUACCCCUUAACUCCAUCAGCAUAUCCCAAGAAUACACAUUUUCUGGAUUUUGAAUCCAGCUUGCUGACUUCUUGAGUAUUGUACAUCACGUACACAGGACUUCCAAAUAUAUGCAAUCGAGAAUAAUCAGCUGGUUUUCCAGUCCACAUCUCCAUCGGUGUCUUCAGCUCAAUUGCAGUUGACGGAGAUCGAUUUAUCACAUAACAGGCGGUAUUGACUGCUUCUGCCCAGAAUGACUUUCCUAGACCUACAGUCUUCAACAUUGCUCUUGUUCUUUCUAAUAGGGUUCUGUUCAUCCGCUCUACCACUCCAUUUUGCUGUGGAGUGUAUGUCGUUGUGAAUUGCCUUUUGAUACCUUCAUGUUGACAGAAGUUAUCAAAUUCAUCACUAGUAUAUUCUCCUCCAUUGUCAGUCCUCAAACACUUGAUCUUCUUUUCAGAUUCAAGUUCCACCCGCGCUUUGAAAGUUUUAAAGACUGCGAACACAUCUGCCUUCCUUCUAAUUGGAUACACCCAACAUCUCCUGGAGAAGUCAUCUAUGAAUGAUACAAAGUAUCUUGCUCCUCCCAAGGAUACAACCGGUGCUUGCCAAACAUCAUAGUGAAUCAGGUCUAAGAUGCAUUUGCUCUUAGUUGUUGAUGUGCCAAACUUCAACUUGUGCUGUUUGCUUGUAACACAAUGCUCACAAAAGGGUAAAGUAACCUUUGUAAGCCCAGGGAGUAACUUCUGAUCAGAGAGAACUUUCAAACCUUUCUCUGACAUGUGGCCUAGUUUUUGAUGCCACAUCAUCGUCUUCUCUUCUGCAGGACUGGCUGAUGCAAUUGAUGCUUUUGCCCCAUGAUGUGUUUCUCCCAUUAAUACAAACAUGUUUGCAACUGUCUUUCUCGCCUUUAAAACCACCAGCGCUCCUUUGACAAUUUUCAUUAUUCCAUUGUCUGUUCGGAUCUUACAGCCAAGACUAUCAAAUUGUCCUACGGACAAAAGAUUCUUCUUUAAGUCUUUCACAUGUCGCACUCCUGUAAUAGUACGAAUUAAGCCAUCAUACAUCUUCAAUUUGAUGGUGCCAAUGCCAGCAAUCUCUAAAGCAUGAUCAUUACCCAUGAACACUGAACCUUCAAAGAUGGGUUCGUAUGUAUGAAACCAAUCUCGAUUAGGAGUCAUAUGCCAUGUUGCUCCUAAAUCCAUUAACCAAACCUCAGUGAGCUCUUUUCUAUCUGUAGAGACUGUCGUUGCUUCACUAUAUAAAACCUCCCCAUCUUCUGAGGUGCUUGCAACACAUCUUUGAGGUUUUGAUGACUCUGCAGUGUUCUCUAUACCCUUUUUAAACCAACAAUCCUUUUUUAAGUGCCCUUUUCUGCCACAGUUGUAGCAUUUCACAGUCUUCUUACUUCUUGAUUUGGACCUUCCUUGCAUUUGACUCCCACUCGAGCCACGCUCCGUUGAUCUCCCUCUUGACACCAACAAUGCCUCUACUUGGUUUGAACUAUUUCUGUCUCCUUUAUUUUUGCGCCUAUUUUCUUCUUCCAAGAUGGCGGCUGCAACAUCAUCAAAGACUAAAUAGUCUGUGAGGAUAUUAUUGGUCAAGUUGAUAAUGAGCUGAUCAUACGAAUCUGGAAGACUUUGAAGUAGAAGCUCUGCACGUUCACUUUCCUCUAUUUGUUGACCCAACGUAGUGAGUUGUGAAAAUAGAGUUCUUAUUGUGUUGAUGUGGUCAGUCACCGCCGUGGUUUCUGCCAUUCGAAGGGUAUAAAGUCUCCGUUUUAAGAAAAUCUUAUUGUGCAAAGACUUGGACUCAUAUAGCUUUGUUAGAGUCUCCCAUAUCUCCUUAGCUGUUUUCUUCUCCGCCACACUUGAUAACACUUCAUCGGCUAAUGCUAAAUGUAUGUUAGCAAUAGCAUUGCCAUCCAUUUCAUUCCAUUUUGCAUUAUCAGUGAUCUCCGCGGGCCGAUCCCCAAUUGCUGCCAAGCAAUUGCCUUUCCUUAAGAUUGCUUUGAUUCUCAUUUUCCACAGUGAGAAAUUGCUCCCCUUGAACCUCUCAAUCUCGUACUUUGCUGCCAUUGUAUUCACCAAGAUCUAUUCAGCUAUCACCGUUUCACAGAUCUGUAACGUAUAUAGAAAUAGUAUCGUGUGAAUAAUACUUCACUAAGUAAGUUCCCAGGAAAGAUUGGAGAGGUCACAAACGGUCCCGCUUAAAACCCAAUCUCCUUAGACAGAACUUCCUAGACUGUAUUUAAUCACCGCACUGACUUUCUAUAUACGCCAACAGUAACGUAUGUGAACAGUACCGUAUGGAUGAAUAGUGUCGUAUAGGUGAAUAGUGCCGUAGACGUGAAUAGUAACCGUAUACACGAAUAACUAUUGUGUAUUAACAACACCAACCAGGAAGCUCUAAUACCACUGUUAGGAUACUGGCAUGCAAACCCGACAAGAUAAAAGGCAAAGGAUAGGAUAAAAUGAUAAAUUAGACACACAAGAAUUUACGUGGUUCACCCAAUUUGGCUACGUCCACGGACAAGUAUAGAAGGAUUUUACUAAGUAAUGUGGGAAUUACAACCUCUCUUCAACAAUAGGAGAACAACUGAAAUCUCUCAAUUACUAGAAGAAAACACCUCACUUACUCUCUCAUAAAUACCUCACAACUUUGUGGGAUUACUCUCUCUUCACUCUCUCUACUUGCUCUCAAGUUUCUCUCUUGUGGUGUGCAUCUAAUGCUUGGAUGCAUUGCCUAUUUAUAGGCAAACAUCCAUGCAAGAGACAAGGGGCACCAAUUGGUGCUGCAAGUGGCACCGAAUUGGUGCCCAACAUUGUUGACUUUGCCAACAAUGCUAGUUGGCUUCACAUAUAUUUCUAGCCAUAGCAAUUAGAUUUCAAUUGUCAGAAAAUACAAAUACCAUACCGUAGAAAAGAAAUUGUUAACUUUUUGUCUAGUCUAUCCAAGUCCUUGUAUUUUUAUCCCAUCUAAAGAAGGUGUAUAUAUAUAACCCAUAGACUGUUAGCAUAUUUAAAAUAUACAACCUUUCAUAUAUAACAUUUCAGGGGGGAAUUAAUUAAUGUGGAAAAAUUUAUUAUUUAAUUAUUAAUGAAUAAUGGGGCAUAAAAUAAUAUUUUAAUUAAAAAAUUAAAACAUCACUAACAUUAUCUCACUACAUUUAAUAAAUAUGCCAGUUCAAUAUUGAUACGUCCUCAAAAUUUUUCUCAUAGAUACAAUAUCUUGUAUACAAAAAACAAAAGAGUUUAAAUUGCAUGAAUCGUGCUGAUAACUCUUUGGAAGCAAGUACUACCUUCCACGUAUUAUAACGCAACUUUGUUUUUUGAACCAGAACCACAAGUUGUAUAUAUUUUUAUGAAUGAACUUCCAAAUAUCCUUUCAGGGUCACAAAUAAAAAUUCAAAUAUAUAUUAUCAUUCUCUAAAUUUCAUGUAUACAGCUAAAUAAGAGAAGACAAAUAUAAAAUUAAUGGAGUCUUUUAGAUAGAUAAAAUGCAAUAUAAAUACAAAUGAGUAUCUCAAUUACAUAAAAUCUACAUUAUAGAAUUGCUCAACAUGUCUUUUAUAAGCAAUAGAUGGUAAAUCUUUUAUCAAUGAAUUAAUAAUCAUCAAUCCAGUGUUGAUGUGUUCAACAACCACUUUAUUUGCUUUGACAUGUUCUCGAAUAGCUAGAUAUUUAAUGUUGAUGUGCUUAUUGCAACUUUUAUGUUAGUGAAUAUGAUUUGUAGUUAAUCGGUUGAUUAUACAUAGUAUUGAUUUUAUUCAUGUAAAAUAUAUUUAUUAUUAAUAAAGACUUUCUUUAUCUUUAUUUUUAAUUUUUAUUUAUAUUUGAUUAAUAAAUCUAGAGUAAAGAUAAAGUCUAUGGAACAAAAAUACUUUGCAUAAGAAAUUAUAAAAUUGUUAUAAUUAUGAGAUUUUUAUUGCAUCAAAGCAUUGUUCCUAAAUGUUCAUGGUCAAUGUUUUAUUUGUUGGGUCCUCGAAUAUCAUACACACAGUGGAAACUAUGAAACAAAAUUAUUCGGGAAUCCCUAAGAUCCUGUUAGAUAGAUCUAGAAUUGUUUAGGAAUUUAUUCCUGAAGAUAUGAUCUUCUUCGACUUUGAAUAAUUUUUUAAAAGCUGGGUUAUCGCAAACUACAAGUCAUCUAAUUGUCCGGCUUCCAACAGUAAUUCACACAAAUCACUCGUGAGAAAACUCAUAAAUCCCUAUUUAGGAGAGAUGAAUUGUUAAGCUUAGAGUGCUAGCUCUAAUAUUGUGUUCACGUAGUUUUUCUGUCUAACAAAAAACCAUAUUUUUUUUCACUUAUAAAAUAAUAGGCUUAGCUUUAUAUUUAUAGGGAAUCCUUAAAAAUCCUAUAAAUAAUAAAAUAUAUAUUUGCCCCUUAAAUAAUAUCCAUUUAUUAUUUAAAGAUAAUUAUAGAAAUUAACUCAAUUAAAUCCUUACUUGAUUUUUAUAAGUCUAGAAAUAUAAUCUUUGUAUUAAUUAUAAUUUAGUCCUUAAUUUCUAGAACAUAUUUUAAUCAAGUCAUACUUAAUUAAAUCAUCCCAAUUUAAUUUUUGAUUAAUGAUUCUUAAUGCAUGUGACUCAUUAAGUUCCUAAUAUGUUGGCCUAAAUAUAAUUUAUAAUUCUAAUUAAAUAGAAUUAAAUAAUUUAAUUUAUUAUUAAUUCAACAAUUGAUUAAUUUAUUUUGAAGAUUAGGUAUCGUCUAGCAACACGUCAUGAACCCCUAAAUAUUAGAAAAGUCAUUAGUAGUUUGACUUAACCUUUUAGUGAUCAAUUUCUCAGUAUAAUAAAUAUCAUUUCAUCAAUAAUGUUCUGAUUUAAUAUUAAAGCAUAAAGUAUAUAUGUGAUGUUAAAUCAUGCAUAUUCUCUAUAUAAUAGUCAUUGAUCAUUUGAAUAAGAUUUGAAACUCUUUUCAAAUCUCAUUACACAUUGGCCAAGAAUAAUUCUCAGUCAAUACUAUUUGAGAAUAGAUGAAACAUUUUUCUUAAUUCACCUAGGGUGAUGAAUCAUUUAUUGAUCACUUAAGUACCUUCAUAUAGUUCAUGCUAUACCCAAUUUCUGCUCUUUCGUUACCUUGAUUAAGAUAACAUGUAACAGGAUCAAAGUAUAACAUUCUUUAUAUAAGAUGACUUUGCGAUCUCAAGUUUAAGGAUCACUUACACAACUAUCGUGUGAGCCUUUUCAUAGACAUAAGUGAUCUUUCCAUAUGAAAUUCUCAUGCAAGUUAAUUUAGUGUACAUGUCUUAUGAUAAGCACCUACAUAUUAAUUAUAGGUAUCCCUUAUACCUCAGCUUAUGCUCUUAUUUUGGAGUCGUUGUUUGUUAGAUAUAAAAAACUAUAUAGUCACAAAAUAAAGAGCUAGUACUCCAAGCAAAACAAUUCCUCUCUCCUAAAUAGGAUUUUAGGAGAUUUCUCACUAGUGGUUCGUGUGGAUUAUCAUUGGAGGCCAGACAAUUGGAUGACUUGUGAUUUAUGACAAUUCAGCCUUUAAAUAAUUAUUCAAAGCCGAAGAAGAUCAUAUCUUCAGGUAAUAAAUUUCUAAACAACUUUAGAUCUGUCUAACAGGAUUCUAGGGACUCCUAAAUAAUUUUUUUUUAUUGUUUCUACUACGUGUAUGACAUUCAGAAAUCUAACAAGUUCCUAACUCUGUUGAACUUUCCUAUAACACCACACCCUACUAGCAAGAUAUUGUUCACUUUGGCCCAUAGACCUCACGGAUUUGUUCUUGGCAGCCACGUAUGACCCCAAAAUGCGUUUUAUUAGUCAAGGUGAACAUGCUCAUAUAAGCCCCCCAAGUCCUCACCCGUUGAUAUAAGAUAUUACAAUCCACCCUUCUUAAAGAGCUCGACGACCCCAUAGACACCACCAGAUAACCAAUGAAGGAAAUAAACAUAAUUUUUUUUUGUUGACAAAGCAAAAAAAAAUAAUACCAUAUGUGCGAAACAAAGUGGCUGGAAUGGAACUGGAAAGUUUUGGCCAGAAUCUAAGUGGAAUUUUUGGAAUGAAUUGAGAUUCUAAGCUAGAUGAAAUUUUUUAUGGUUGGUUUUAUUUUUUAAAACUAGAAUAAGAUAUAGCGGACAUUUCAGACAACAUGUAACGGAAUUUACAACUUUUAUCUUUACCCAAAAUUGUAAUAGCUAGAAAUUCGCACUCUUGUGUAGUCAAUUAUGGAGAAUAAUAUUGCGGUGUGUCCACCACUCUUGUGUAGUCAAUUAAGGGACCUACUUGUAUGGAAAUGUAAUAUGAAACGGUUUGCUCUAAAGGCAACUCAUGCAAAAGCAGCAAAUAAGAGUUCAUUAAUAUAAUUACCGUGUUUCCAACACUCACUACUCUUGUUUAGUCUUCUUAUAUUUAAAAACACCCAGUAAAAACACCCAGCUAAGGAUGUUUCACAAUGCUUCUCCCAGCAGUGAGAAAGAUCAAUAAUGACUUUGAUUUCGUCUUUAAAUGUGUACACGUUCACCCAUACUGUCAGUCAUCAGCAAAGGGACCUUCUUGUAUGGAAAUAUUUGCAAUGCAAUAUUCAACACUGUAAGAGUCAACUCUUACCGUAUGGUUUCCAAAGCAAAUGUUAUGGAACAUGUUUUGAAGACUCGCAAAACAAAAAGAAAAACCUUGUUGCUGAGGGGAAGGGGAUUGCCAAGAAAUUCAAAUGACAAAUAUUGCUUUAUUAAUCUUCACGUCUCAAAGCCUUCUUCACUAUACCCACUGCUCUAAUUAACAAUCUUUACCUAAAAUUGUAAAUGAACUAUUCAGAAAUUUGCACAAAAAAUGUCAUUUAUGAAAACUAAUAUUCUCGUGUUUCCAACACUAUUGUAUAGUCAAUGAAGGGACCUGCAUGUAUGGAAAUAUAACAUGAAACGGUUUGCUCUAAAAGCAACUCAUGCAAAAGCAACGUGUUCCCAACACUCACUCUUGCUUAGGCAACGUGUUUUCACAAUUUAUACGUAGUUUUUAGAUUAAUUAAAAUAAAGACGUAAAUUGAUAAAUGAUGAUUAUUUAACAAAGACGUAACAGAUGCAACAAUUCUUGUAUACUUUCAUCUACGUUGGGUACUUAAAUCUUGAUUGGUUUGUGUAUAAAUAGUACCAUUGCAAAUCUUUAUUUCUCAUCAUUCGUUCAACACUCCAAAUUAAUAUACUUUCGAAUCCUGUAAGGCCAGCCAACAUGGGGUUUUCACCACUGUCCCUCUCUCAAUUUCUCUCUUCCAUUCUGUUUCUCUUCCAUUUUUACACAACAAUUUCUUCAUCAAAUUACUCCUCUUCAUCUCAUUUCUGUGCUCCUGACCAAAGUCUUUCUUUGCUCCAAUUCAAAGAGUCCUUUUCCAUUACUAGCUCUGCUUCAGGGCGUUGCCAGCAUCCCAAGACAGAGUCGUGGAAAGAGGGUACAGACUGCUGCUCGUGGGAUGGGGUCACUUGUGAACUGGAAACCGGGCAAGUCACUGCACUGGACCUUGCUUGCAGCAUGCUUUAUGGCACCCUCCAUUCCAAUAGCACCCUCUUCUCCCUGCAUCAUUUUCAAAAGCUCGACCUCUCUGACAAUGAUUUCCAAAGCUCCCAUAUUUCUUCUCGAUUUGGCCAGUUCUCCAAUCUGACACAUCUCAACCUAAAUUUCUCAGGCUUUGCAGGUCAAGUUCCGUCGGAAAUCUCCCAGCUCUCCAAAUUGGUUUCACUUGAUCUCUCUGGAAACUACUACCCAAGUCUAGAACCAAUUUCUUUUGACAAGCUUGUUCGAAACCUAACCCAGCUUAGAGAACUCGAUCUGAGUCGGGUAAACAUGUCAAUGGUUGCACCCAAUUCCUUGAUGAAUCUGUCUUCUUCUUUGUCAUCACUCCUACUCUAUUCGUGUGGAUUGCAAGGAAAAUUACCAUCCUCAAUGAGAAAAUUUAAGCACCUCCAGCGGUUGGAUCUUGCAGAUAACAAUCUUACAGGUCCAAUUCCAUAUGAUUUUGAGCAACUCACUGAGUUGGUUUCACUUGCUCUCUCUGGAAACGAAAACGACUAUCUAAGUCUAGAACCAAUUUCUUUUGACAAGCUUGUUCAAAAUCUAACCCAGCUUAGAGAACUCUAUCUGAACUGGGUGAACAUUUCAUUGGUUGUACCCAAUUCCUUCAUGAAUCUGUCUUCUUCUUUGUCAUCACUCACACUCUAUUCAUGUGGAUUGCAAGGAAAAUUCCCAUCCUCAGUGAGAAAAUUUAAGCACCUCCAGCACUUGGAUCUUAGAUACAGCAAUCUUACAGGUUCAAUUCCAGAUGAUCUUGG